AUGACAAUUUUUGCUUCCUCAGAUUUGCUUUUUAUGUUAGCUCAGCAGCUCCUGUUAGAGCUAAUUAUGAGUUCUUAUUAUUGUCAGGGUAAAGAAGUGGAUACAAACCUCAUCAAUCUGGCAAGUAGUGCUCUGGGACGAGAUGUUGGCAUGGAGAGAAGACCAACAUCAUUUUCAGAUGGAUAUGGGUGGCAGGCUUCCUGGUCCUAUUCCAAGUACAUAGAAGCCUUGGAGCAGGAGAGAGUACUCCUUAAAAUGCAAGAAGAUCUGGAGAAAAAUUCAUCAUCAUUCUUUACAGGUACCUCAUCUAAAUCCUUCAUGAAGGCUAGAAACUCUGAAAAAUCCACUAUUUCUCCGAAGAGUAGCGUGACUUUGGAGAAACGCUCAGAUCUUCCCAAAGAAACAGAAAGCAGAUUAAAAUCUCUCUGA
Molecule: long non-coding RNA, 429 nt
Filed under: Anser brachyrhynchus (Pink-footed goose)
Lineage: Eukaryota; Metazoa; Chordata; Aves; Anseriformes; Anatidae
Description: lncRNA (ENSABRG00000002348.1)
Source: RNAcentral